Molecule: ribosomal RNA, 497 nt
Filed under: uncultured bacterium
Lineage: Bacteria
Description: partial 16S ribosomal RNA
Rfam family: Bacterial small subunit ribosomal RNA
Source: RNAcentral
GAUGAACGCUGGCGGCGUGCCUAAUACAUGCAAGUCGAGCGAACAGACGAGGAGCUUGCUCCUCUGACGUUAGCGGCGGACGGGUGAGUAACACGUGGAUAACCUACCUAUAAGACUGGGAUAACUUCGGGAAACCGGAGCUAAUACCGGAUAAUAUAUUGAACCGCAUGGUUCAAUAGUGAAAGACGGUUUUGCUGUCACUUAUAGAUGGAUCCGCGCCGCAUUAGCUAGUUGGUAAGGUAACGGCUUACCAAGGCAACGAUGCGUAGCCGACCUGAGAGGGGGGGAGGCAGCAGUGGAACGGAGACAGGGUCCAGAGACCUACGGGAAGCAGCAGAGGGGAAUGUGACGCAAGGGGCGGAAACCUGAGAGAGCAACGGCGCGGGAGUGAAAAAGGUCUUCGGAUCGUAAAACUCUGUGAGGAGGGAAGAACAAAUGUGAAAGUAACAGUGCGCGUCUUGACGGUACCUAAUGAGAAAGCAACGGCUAACUAAGUG